UGGGGAAUAUUGCACAACGGGCGCAAGCCUGAUGCAGCCAUGCCGCGUGUAUGAAGAAGGCCUUCGGGUUGUAAAGUACUUUCAGCGGGGAGGAAGGGAGUAAAGUUAAUACCUUUGCUCAUUGACGUUACCCGCAGAAGAAGCACCGGCUAACUCCGUGCCAGCAGCCGCGGUAAUACGGAGGGUGCAAGCGUUAAUCGGAAUUACUGGGCGUAAAGCGCACGCAGGCGGUUUGUUAAGUCAGAUGUGAAAUCCCCGGGCUCAACCUGGGAACUGCAUCUGAUACUGGCAAGCUUGAGUCUCGUAGAGGGGGGUAGAAUUCCAGGUGUAGCGGUGAAAUGCGUAGAGAUCUGGAGGAAUACCGGUGGCGAAGGCGGCCCCCUGGACGAAAACUGACGCUCAGGUGCGAAAGCGUGGGGAGCAAACAGG
This 429-nucleotide ribosomal RNA is filed under the name Chloroflexota bacterium. Its description in RNAcentral is "Chloroflexi bacterium partial 16S ribosomal RNA". It matches the Rfam family "Bacterial small subunit ribosomal RNA", at positions 355 to 776 of the family's 1533-position model. The record is from RNAcentral. Lineage: Bacteria; Bacillati; Chloroflexota.